GUGCUCUUUCGGCAGCACGGAUUCUAAAAUCGGAAGGUUAGAGGGAAGGUUAGCAUGGCUUCUGCGCAAGGAUGACACACACAUUGGCAAAAUGUUCCACGUUAAA
This is a small nuclear RNA of Sorex araneus (European shrew), 106 nucleotides long. Lineage: Eukaryota; Metazoa; Chordata; Mammalia; Eulipotyphla; Soricidae. The record is from Ensembl.